GUUAGAGUUGAAAGAUUUUGUUGAGAUGGAGGAUAAUAAUAGUUCUCCAGGAUCUCCCAAGGAAAACCCAGAUCAGGAAAAUGAAGCAGGUCAAAUUACCAAGGAUUAUAGCUCAUUGGAGAAUAUGGUUAGGAGGAUUCAAGAUUCUGUGUCCAUUGGCAAAAGGCACAAAUUCUGGGAAACGCAACCUGUUGGACAAUUCAAAGACAUUGGGG
This 215-nucleotide unclassified non-coding RNA is filed under the name Hevea brasiliensis (rubber tree). The record is from RNAcentral. Lineage: Eukaryota; Viridiplantae; Streptophyta; Magnoliopsida; Malpighiales; Euphorbiaceae.